CACAGCAGCGGCACAAUAGCUCCCUUACAAGACACAUAAUCGCAUCCAUCUUAAUGAGAACAAGCAGCGUGGGGCUGUCUAAUGAACAACUGAAGCAACUUGUGACUAAUUGUAAAUUAGGCGACAGGAGAUCCAGGGCCUGUUAGUAAAGAAACACAACGGAAGCCACAGGUCUCCGCAAGCCACACUGGAUAAGUUGGAUGGACAUAGAGCCCGGCGGAUCUGAGAGUUGUGUCAUUUGCCGAGCUCAGCAAACGUGCCUGGUGGUGGCGGAUGAACAUUUCAAAUCUGACUUACACAAGUUGGCUGCACCAAAGAUGGAGCAAUCUUCAUAUCUGAUGUCCCAAGACUUUUGCGUAGGCGUAAACUUUUAAGAUUCAAAACUGCCCAAGAAAAGGAAUGGGAAAAUCAACUUUUUUUACCCUGGUUAGAAAAAGGUUUAUAUUUUUGUUUAUAGCACUGCCCCCAGGAUAAUGUUAAAAUGGGGGGGGGAAUUAUUGCAUAUUUUUUAGAGGAUAAAAAAAGUUGUGUGUAAAUAUGAAAAGAAGUAGAAAAAUUUGGUUAGAAAAGAUCACUUUUUUAUUGUUUAGAAAUCGGCAAUAAUAAACAAUACUGGUAAAAU
This is a long non-coding RNA of Xenopus laevis (African clawed frog), 622 nucleotides long. RefSeq lists it as uncharacterized. The record is from RefSeq and is a predicted model, not a curated record. NCBI's taxonomy places the organism in Eukaryota, Metazoa, Chordata, Amphibia, Anura, Pipidae. The transcript has 2 exons.